GCCCUGUGAGUUUCAGACUGUGGGACUGAGAUCUGUCCAUCAACACAACAGAAACCACGGAAACCAUGACUCUGAUCACCAUCUUUAUCUGGACACUGGUCUGCUGCUGCCUCAAAGGAUCCAGAGGUCAGGUGACUGUGACUGUGACUCAGCCUCCUGUAGUGACAUUUUCUCCAGGAGACCCUGUCACUCUGACCUGUACAACCAACCCUAAAGUGUACAGAUGGGAUGAUGGAGAUGAGGGUGUGUUCUGGUAUCAACAGAGACCUGGAGAAGCUCCCAAACUCCUGAUAAUAUAUGCAAAGAAACGGUUAGAUGGGAUUCCUGCUAGAUUCAGUGGCAGUGGGUCUGAGAGGGACUUCACUCUGACCAUCAGUGGAGUCCAGGCUGAAGAUGCUGCAGUUUACUACUGUCAGAGUUACCACAGUGGAGGUGUGAUCACACAGUGAUUUAGAGCUGUACAA
This is a non-coding RNA of Oncorhynchus kisutch (coho salmon), 464 nucleotides long. The record is from the annotation of a RefSeq genome assembly. Lineage: Eukaryota; Metazoa; Chordata; Actinopteri; Salmoniformes; Salmonidae.